CCUACGGGAGGCAGCAGUGGGGAAUAUUGCACAAUGGGGGAAACCCUGAUGCAGCGACGCCGCGUGAGUGAAGAAGUAUCUCGGUAUUUAAAGCUCUAUCAGCAGGGCAGAAAAUGACGGUACCUGACUAAGAAGCCCCGGCUAACUACGUUCCAGCAGCCGCGGUAAUACGUCGGGGGCAAGCGUUAUCCGGAUUUACUGGGGGUAAAGGGAGCGUAGACGGCGGUGCACGUCCGGAGUGAAAGCCCAUGGCUGAACCAUGGUACUGCUCGGGAAACUGUGGAGCUGGAGUGCGGGAGGGGCAGGCGGAAUGGCUAGUGUAGCGGUGAAAUGCGUAGAGAGUAGGAGGAACGCCGGGGGCGAAGGCGGCCUGCGGGGCCGUAACUGACGUUGAGGCUCGAAAGCGUGGGGAGCAAACAGGAUUAGAUACCCGUGUAGUC
This 440-nucleotide ribosomal RNA is filed under the name uncultured bacterium. RNAcentral's name for it is "partial 16S ribosomal RNA". It matches the Rfam family "Bacterial small subunit ribosomal RNA", at positions 338 to 795 of the family's 1533-position model. The record is from RNAcentral.